GACGAACGCUGGCGGCGUGCUUAACACAUGCAAGUCGAACGGAAAGGCCCUGCUUUUGCGGGGUGCUCGAGUGGCGAACGGGUGAGUAACACGUGAGUAACCUGCCCUUGACUUUGGGAUAACUUCAGGAAACUGGGGCUAAUACCGGAUAGGAGCUCCUGCUGCAUGGUGGGGGUUGGAAAGUUUCGGCGGUUGGGGAUGGACUCGCGGCUUAUCAGCUUGUUGGUGGGGUAGUGGCUUACCAAGGCUUUGACGGGUAGCCGGCCUGAGAGUGUGACCGGCCACAUUGGGACUGGGAUACGGCCCAGACUCCUACGGGAGGCAGCAGUGGGGAAUAGUGCACAAUGGGCGGAAGCCUGAUGCAGCAACGCCGCGUGCGGGAUGACUGCCUUCGGGUUGUAAACCGCUUUCGCCUGUGACGAAGCGUGAGUGACGGUAAUGGGUAAAGAAGCACCGGCUAACUACGUG
RNAcentral lists this ribosomal RNA (468 nucleotides) under uncultured bacterium. RNAcentral describes it as "partial 16S ribosomal RNA". It matches the Rfam family "Bacterial small subunit ribosomal RNA", at positions 28 to 507 of the family's 1533-position model. The record is from RNAcentral.